GACACACGAUUUCCGCUUGUGAACCAAGGACGUCAGGCUUCCAGUCACUGACUUGAGCUUCACACAAAAUGGUCCCCAGGAAAGGUUGCAACGAAGAGAUGCACAACUUGAGUUCCACCCGUGAAGUAAACAGGACGGAGUGCGCUGCGGCCUGAGUUCCGCUUCCGGCACAUUACUUCCGCUUACGGAUGGUGCAACAUGCGAUUCCCUGCCCACCGGGCGGCGAUUAAAUCGGAUCCGCUUUCGGCCCAGGAAGGGAAUUGAUCGCAUCGGACAUUGCGGGCCCGAUAGGAAACGCCUUAAGGGACGGGACUAACAGGUCCAAGUGAACAGGUCAGAAACGGCUGAUUCUGACCGCAAAAGAGGCAGCACAGAGCAUAUUCCCUGUCACUCAUCGAGGCGGGGCAGGAAAUAAGUCCCAUCAUCUCAGAGGAACCGGAAUUGGUUGUCUCAAGCCGGAAGUGGACAAUUUCUGGUCCCUCCCAGAACGGAAGUGAACCCCCCAGACCGGAAAUGUGCGAUCCUUUCAACAUGGAGCUGGUUCCACUCACCAGGCUGCUGCAGGGGAAGAGGGUGGUGCUGGCGAGCAGCUCCCCCAGGAGGCGGGACAUCCUGUCCUCCAUGGAGUCCCUGGAGAAGGCGAGAUUUCCGGCUCCGCCCGAAUAUGCCCGGGAGACAGCAAAGCUGAAGGCUCUGGA
Molecule: long non-coding RNA, 698 nt
Organism: Phodopus roborovskii (desert hamster)
Lineage: Eukaryota; Metazoa; Chordata; Mammalia; Rodentia; Cricetidae
Exons: 3
Source: RefSeq, a predicted model, not a curated record